RNAcentral lists this ribosomal RNA (851 nucleotides) under Apiospora rasikravindrae. Its description in RNAcentral is "eukaryotic LSU rRNA". It matches the Rfam family "Eukaryotic large subunit ribosomal RNA", at positions 61 to 938 of the family's 3401-position model. Lineage: Eukaryota; Fungi; Ascomycota; Sordariomycetes; Amphisphaeriales; Apiosporaceae. The record is from RNAcentral.
GAAACCAACAGGGAUUCCCCUAGUAACGGCGAGUGAAGCGGGAACAGCUCAAAUUUGAAAUCUGGCCCUUGGGUCCGAGUUGUAAUUUGCAGAGGAUGCUUUUGGUGCGGUGCCUUCCGAGUUCCCUGGAACGGGACGCCUUAGAGGGUGAGAGCCCCGUACGGUUGGCCACCAAGCCUGUGUAAAGCUCCUUCGACGAGUCGAGUAGUUUGGGAAUGCUGCUCAAAAUGGGAGGUAUAUUUCUUCUAAAGCUAAAUACUGGCCAGAGACCGAUAGCGCACAAGUAGAGUGAUCGAAAGAUGAAAAGCACUUUGAAAAGAGGGUUAAAUAGCACGUGAAAUUGUUGAAAGGGAAGGAUUUAUGACCAGACUUUUUCUAGGGGGAUCAUCCGGUGUUCUCACCGGUGCACUUCCCCUAGUUGAGGCCAGCAUCGGUUUCUGUCGGGGGAUAAAAGCUUCGGGAAUGUGGCUCCCUCCGGGGAGUGUUAUAGCCCGUUGCAUAAUACCCUGACGGGGACCGAGGUUCGCGCAUUGCAAGGAUGCUGGCGUAAUGGUUAUUAAUCACCCGUCUUGAAACACGGACCAAGGAGUCGAACAUUUGUGCGAGUGUUUGGGUGUUAAACCCUCACGCGUAAUGAAAGUGAACGGAGGUGAGAGCCCCUCGGGGUGCAUCAUCGACCGAUCCUGAUGUCUUCGGAUGGAUUUGAGUAAGAGCAUAACUGUUCGGACCCGAAAGAUGGUGAACUAUGCGUGGAUAGGGUGAAGCCAGAGGAAACUCUGGUGGAGGCUCGCAGCGGUUCUGACGUGCAAAUCGAUCGUCAAAUCUGCGCAUGGGGGCGAAAGACUAAUCGA